GACGAACGCUGGCGGCGUGCCUAAUACAUGCAAGUAGAACGCUGAAGGAGGAGCUUGCCCUUCUGGAUGAGUUGCGAACGGGUGAGUAACGCGUAGGUAACCUGCCUGGUAGCGGGGGAUAACUAUUGGAAACGAUAGCUAAUACCGCAUAACAUUGACUAUUGCAUGAUAGUCAAUUGAAAGGUGCAAAUGCACCACUACCAGAUGGACCUGUGUUGUAUUAGCUAGUUGGUGGGGUAACGGCUCACCAAGGCGACGAUACAUAGCCGACCUGAGAGGGUGAUCGGCCACACUGGGACUGAGACACGGCCCAGACUCCUACGGGAGGCAGCAGUAGGGAAUCUUCGGCAAUGGACGGAAGUCUGACCGAGCAACGCCGCGUGAGUGAAGAAGGUUUUCGGAUCGUAAAGCUCUGUUGUAAGAGAAGAACGAGUGUGAGAGUGGAAAGUUCACACUGUGACG
This 462-nucleotide ribosomal RNA is filed under the name Streptococcus cristatus. RNAcentral's name for it is "bacterial SSU rRNA". It matches the Rfam family "Bacterial small subunit ribosomal RNA", at positions 28 to 474 of the family's 1533-position model. Lineage: Bacteria; Bacillati; Bacillota; Bacilli; Lactobacillales; Streptococcaceae. The record is from RNAcentral.